CCCUUAGAUGUUCUGGGAUGCACGCGCGUUACACUGAUUCGUUCAACGAGUUUAUGACCUUGCCUGAUGAGGUGGGGAAUCUUUUCAAAUCGCAUCGUGAUGGGGAUAGAGUAUUGUAACUGUUAGUCUUCAACGAGGAAUUCCUAGUAAGUACGUGUCAUCAGCUCGUACUGAUUAUGUCCCUGCCCUUUGUACACACCGCCCGUCGCACCUACCGAUUGAAUGGUCCGGUGAAAUCUUCGGAUCUGAGAGAUGUCUGAUUAAUUUCGGACGCCUUUUGGAAAAGUUGUUUAAACCUUACCAUUUAGAGGAAGGUGAAGUCGUAACA
Molecule: ribosomal RNA, 328 nt
Filed under: uncultured eukaryote
Lineage: Eukaryota
Description: partial 18S ribosomal RNA
Rfam family: Eukaryotic small subunit ribosomal RNA
Source: RNAcentral